Long non-coding RNA from Sinocyclocheilus rhinocerous, 384 nucleotides. RefSeq lists it as uncharacterized. The record is from RefSeq and is a predicted model, not a curated record. The transcript is spliced from 3 exons. NCBI's taxonomy places the organism in Eukaryota, Metazoa, Chordata, Actinopteri, Cypriniformes, Cyprinidae.
AUGAAAUGGUGCACAAAUCCCAGUGUCACUCUGCUAUUAGCAGGAUGCUAACUACUUACUUUUUCCAUUUAUUAGCCAUUUUGAAUAACUCAGCCCUGUUCUCCUUCUUUCAGCGAUGAGAGCUCAGAGACAUGCCACGGAGCAGCUGAAAAAAGAAGCAAGACAAAGUGUGGACAAGAGAAUGAUGUGAACAAGUGCCAAGUGAUCUACAUUCACAACCUUCCGAGCAGCGUCACUCAGUCCAUACUGCGUAAGCGCUUCGAGGCCUUCGGCCAUCCGGAGGACUGUAAAGUGGUCAUCAAAAACGAGGAGCGUUGUGGGGUGAUCACGCUGAGACCGGCUCAGAACGGCCAGACCUCACGGCACAGGUGGGACUCGCUCGGU